Molecule: unclassified non-coding RNA, 240 nt
Filed under: soil metagenome
Description: partial contains 5.8S ribosomal RNA, internal transcribed spacer 2, and large subunit ribosomal RNA
Source: RNAcentral
AACGCACGAGACCUGCGGACCUGCGGAGGGAUCAUUACCGAGUUUACAACUCCCAAACCCAAUGUGAACGUUACCGAACUGUUGCCUCGGCGGGAUCUCUGCCCCGGGUGCGUCGCAGCCCCGGACCAAGGCGCCCGCCGGAGGACCAACCAAAACUCUUUUGUAUACCCCCUCGCGGGUUUUUAUAUCUGAGCCAUCUCGGCGCCUCUCGUAGGCGUUUCGAAAAUGAAUCAAAACUUU